UGCAGUCGACGGUAACAGGAAUUAGCUUGCUAAUUUGCUGACGAGUGGCGCACGGGUGCGUAACGCGUAUACAAUCUACCUUUUGCUGAGGGAUAGCCCAGAGAAAUUUGGAUUAAUACCUCAUGGUAUUAUUGAUAGGCAUCUAUUAAUAAUUAAAGGUUACGGCAAAAGAUGAGUAUGCGUCCCAUUAGCUAGUUGGCGAGGUAACGGCUCACCAAGGCAACGAUGGGUAGGGGUCCUGAGAGGGAGAUCCCCCACACUGGUACUGAGACACGGACCAGACUCCUACGGGAGGCAGCAGUGAGGAAUAUUGGACAAUGGGCGAGAGCCUGAUCCAGCCAUGCCGCGUGCAGGAAGACUGCCCUAUGGGUUGUAAACUGCUUUUAUACAGGAAGAAUAAGCCUUACGUGUAAGGUGAUGACGGUACUGUAAGAAUAAGGACCGGCUAACUCCGUGCCAGCAGCCGCGGUAAUACGGAGGGUCCGAGCGUUAUCCGGAAUUAUUGGGUUUAAAGGGUCCGUAGGCGGAUGAUUAAGUCAGGGGUGAAAGUUUGCAGCUCAACUGUAAAAUUGCCUUUGAUACUGGUUAUCUUGAGUUGUAUUGAAGUAGGC
Molecule: ribosomal RNA, 611 nt
Filed under: uncultured bacterium
Lineage: Bacteria
Description: bacterial SSU rRNA
Rfam family: Bacterial small subunit ribosomal RNA
Source: RNAcentral